RNAcentral lists this long non-coding RNA (451 nucleotides) under Mytilus galloprovincialis (Mediterranean mussel). The record is from RNAcentral. Lineage: Eukaryota; Metazoa; Mollusca; Bivalvia; Mytilida; Mytilidae.
GUUGGUGUGUUUGAGAUUUGGUGUGCGGGUCCCAGACGCAGCUGUUGUAUUCUAGCUUUGGUCUUACAAGUGCAAUGUAUGCUUUUUCUUUGACUGUUUUUGAGUUGACUUUUAGAUUCCUUUUAAUAAAGUUCAGCUUUUGUGUGGCUGCAGCUGUGAUAUUGUUUACAUGUUUGUUCCAUUUCAGAUCAGUUUGUAUAGUUAUUCCCAGAUAUGUUGUGGAUGUUUCUUUUUAAAGUACAUGUUGGUGGAGAGUAUAGUCAAAAUUUAAUGGGUUUUUCUUAGUUGUUAUCUGAAGGACUGAGCACUUGUCUGGAUGGAAUGACAUGAGCCAGUCCUUCUCCCAUUUUGCAGCUGAUGUGAGAUCUUCUUGCAGUUUUUGUGUGUCUUCUUUGUUUCGUAUUGUUUUAUAAAUUAUGCUAUCAUCUGCAAAUAAUCUGAGGGUACUGUG